RNAcentral lists this small nuclear RNA (19 nucleotides) under Arabidopsis thaliana (thale cress). RNAcentral describes it as "snRNA_07624". The record is from RNAcentral. Lineage: Eukaryota; Viridiplantae; Streptophyta; Magnoliopsida; Brassicales; Brassicaceae.
GGAUUAACGAGAUUCCCAC